This is a long non-coding RNA of Ochlerotatus camptorhynchus, 1721 nucleotides long. RefSeq lists it as uncharacterized. The record is from RefSeq and is a predicted model, not a curated record. The transcript has 2 exons. Lineage: Eukaryota; Metazoa; Arthropoda; Insecta; Diptera; Culicidae.
GCUAACUUGAAAGCUCAACUAGAUAGAAGGUAGCUGUUUUUGGCGAAUUUAUUCAGAUGUAUAAGACCUAUACCUAGUGGAUAGUGCACACUUUCGAAACAGCUGGGAUUUAUUUGAAGUUAACAAGCGAUGCCUAUAGAUCCUAUUCUCUCAGAAAGAUUCGGAUGACAACUACCACCUGAAGCCGAUAUGCACUUUCAUUUAUGUAUUGGAGGUAAGAUUUAGUGAAAUUUGACGUAUUCAGCUCCUGCUGGAAAUGAAGGUAAAGUAUCUCAAAAUAUUGAAAAUUGUAUUGCUUCUUCUAAUCGUCCGUUUUUCUAUUGCAGACCUUUACCUAUGCAGCUGAACUGGGUGCCGAACUCUUAAUUGAACAUACAUUUGAACUUUAUCUAGUCAGUUUAUGGAAAUCUCUAUCCUACCACCCAACCGGCUUAAAAUGAAUUUACACCGUUUAUUAAUGGACUGUAUUUUUCUCUUUCGAAAUAAACCAAAAUCCACCACAAAUAGGGCGUCUUCAUCUUCAACAUCAUACAGUGGACCCCCGUCAAGUACCUCGGCUAUUCGUAUCCUCUGUGGGCGCACGCUUUCGGUUGGUUCACCGCCCUGUCCUCGAUGUUGUGCAUCCCCGGUUACAUGAUCUGGCUGUGGAGAAACACCCCCGGCGACCGAGCUAACAAAAUCCGACUGAUCGUCAGAAUCGAUGAGAGCGUCGCCGAGCUGCGAGAAAAGAUGCACUCCACCCACGAAAAGGGCAUGGAGCUGUAAGGGCUCUCCGUGUUACCAACCCAAAUAUCCCGUUCUGCGAUCCGACUAGGCUUAAGCAACAUCCUCCAAACGACGACAUGCGACGAUGCGCGAGCGAAUGAAAGUACAGAAUCAUCCUAUGUUUAAAAACCAAAAUCUAAUAUAACUAACAACUAACGGUUCCAGUGCCUUUUUUUUUCAUUUCCCAUAUACACUGACUUCUUCUCAUCCAGUUUCGGUCCAUAGCGUAAUGUGACGAUUUAAGUAUAUGAAUAUAAAUGAAGUAUUUACUAAUGGAUUUAAAGUUAAUAUUGGAAGAGAGAUUUAAUUUAUUUAGUAAUUUUAAUUUACUAACCAAUAGAAGACAGUCACCCCCGGCUAAAGGAGGUGACGGAAAGAAGGGAAAACAAUGCGCACGUACACAUACACACACAUACAUUCAACCACCCAAACACAAACGCACUUGCAUACAUAAAGCUAUACUAUUAUAUACGAUUAAUGCACACGCACGGCGCGCUAGUUUGACUAAAUAUAACUACCAUUCGAUUGUAAAUCGUUGUGUUAAAACCUAGGGCCAGUAAGACACAUGCAAAAAACUACAUAUUAAAUAGGAUUCGAUGGAAGCUGCUACUCAGAUCCCUACCGCCCCCAUCCCAACUACACACUUGCUGUGUUGGUUUUCGGUAGGCUUAAUUGUUAAGAUGCGUAUUUAAGUGUGUAAAACAAAACCAAAAAGAAAAACGACAGUAUGUAGCAGUUUCAGCUCCCUUUCAGAAACAAAAGAAACGCAAACAUUUUGAUUCCUUACUGAGCACGACACUGGACAAAUACGGCGGACGAAUUCCGAAUUCCGAAGCUGUACAUCAGAGAAAAGUAGACGAAAGUGCACGCAGAGAACGACGAAGCAGAGAAACUGGAACCCAAUGUAUUUAAAACAGUACUAAUCAGUAACGAAUAGAAAAUGUGAUUUGUAAGAA